This 461-nucleotide ribosomal RNA is filed under the name uncultured bacterium. Its description in RNAcentral is "bacterial SSU rRNA". It matches the Rfam family "Bacterial small subunit ribosomal RNA", at positions 31 to 507 of the family's 1533-position model. The record is from RNAcentral.
GAACGCUGGCGGCAUGCCUUACACAUGCAAGUCGAACGGUAGGAGGGGGCCAACCCCUUGAGAGUGGACGAACGGGUGAGUAAUAUAUCGGGAACGUGCCCAGUCGGUGGGGGAUAACGUAGCGAAAGUUACGCUAAUACCGCAUACGAUCUAUGGAUGAAAGCGGGGGACCGUAAGGCCUCGCGCGAUUGGAGCGGCCGAUAUCAGAUUAGGUAGUUGGGUGGGGUAAAGGCUCACCAAGCCAACGAUCUGUAGCUGGUCUGAGAGGACGACUAGCCACACUGGAACUGAGACACGGUCCAGACUCCUACGGGAGGCAGCAGGUGGGGAAUCUUAGACAAGUGGGGGAAACCCCUGAUCUAGCCAUGCCGCGUGAUCGAUGAAGGCCUUAGGGUUGUAAAGAUCUUUCAGUGGGGAAGAUAAUGACUGUACCCACAGAAGAAGCCCCGGCUAACUCCGUG